Non-coding RNA from Schizosaccharomyces pombe (fission yeast), 241 nucleotides. Lineage: Eukaryota; Fungi; Ascomycota; Schizosaccharomycetes; Schizosaccharomycetales; Schizosaccharomycetaceae. The record is from the annotation of a GenBank genome assembly.
AUAACAACAUAUGUCCUGAGAAUAACAUGUGAAAAAAGGAUUUUACAAACGAAAUUUAAAUUUAUGAGCAUACCUGAUCCAUACAAGCAUCAGCAAUCUUGAGACUUUUUUGCAGACAUUCGAGUACCCGUUUUGGAUCCUGAAAAGGCUAUAGGAAUGUUAGUAAAUAUAGAUGAGAAAUCACAAUUUGCUUACCCUUGAAUCUUCUCCUGAUGCGACCUGCCACCAUAGAUGACUAGCC